UUAGAACAGGACAUGCGGCUUUGCUAGAACAGCACAUGCGGUCUGCGGAUCGACCAGAUAGCCCCCUAGAACAGCACAUGCGGUUUGGCUAGAACAGCACGUGCGGUUUUGCUAGAACAGCACGUGGGGCUUUGCGCUGAAGGGGUCUCGCAGGACGCGCAGGUCCGGGCGUUCGGCGAUGGUGUAGCCUGCGCGGAAGUCGCCAAAGGCAAUCGGAUAGCUGUUGGAGGUCGGGUCCGGCAUGUCCUCUGCAAUCAGCACCGGGUAGCCCAUAAGGCGCGCGGGCUCACCCGCGGCGAGGCCGUCAGACCACAGGAAGCGGCCGUCGGCGUCCUUCAAUUUCCUGAGCAUUCCCGCGGUUUUGGAGUUCAUGAUGAAAGUCGCAUUGGCGCGGUAUUCCGCCCCCAGCGCAUAGACCAGGUCGAUGAUCGCGUCGCCAUUGCCGACCUCACCAUCCACGCCAGUUGCCUUGUAGCCGAUGUUGCCCCAGGUCCAGCUGUCGUUGUCCGUGACCGGGUAGUUGAGGAAGCCGGUGGGCUUGUCCACGCCGUCGCCGUUGAUGAAGGCGUCUGCCUCCGAGCGGGAAAACUUGCCGGCGAUGCGGCCAGCCAGCCAGCCCUCGAUAUCAAAGGCGCUGUCAUCCAACAGCCGCUGCGAGAUUUUCGGCAGCGCCGACAGCUCAUGCAGCGGGAUCGAGAUGCGGUCAAUCGUCGGCGUGCCGGUCUCGGUCGUUGCCGUGGCCUCAUCCGCCCAGCCCGAGCCCAGAUCGUUCUGGUCGAUCAGCACGUCAUAGGCGGUGCCCUCGACAUUCACCACAUUUGCAAUCGCGCGGAUUGAAGCCGUGGCAUUCAGCAC
RNAcentral lists this ribosomal RNA (855 nucleotides) under uncultured Rhodobacterales bacterium. RNAcentral's name for it is "partial 16S ribosomal RNA". The record is from RNAcentral. Lineage: Bacteria; Pseudomonadati; Pseudomonadota; Alphaproteobacteria; Rhodobacterales.